RNAcentral lists this ribosomal RNA (674 nucleotides) under uncultured bacterium. Its description in RNAcentral is "bacterial SSU rRNA". It matches the Rfam family "Bacterial small subunit ribosomal RNA", at positions 1 to 617 of the family's 1533-position model. The record is from RNAcentral.
CCCUUAGAGUUUGAUCCUGGCUCAGAAUGAACGUUGGCGGCGUGGAUUAGGCAUGCAAGUCGAACGAAUCCCAGUCCCUCACCCUGCCCUGUGAAUCGGCGAGCCGCUUCGCGUGAGCGAGCGGGUGGCGGUUCUCAGGUCGCGGUGAGGGGCUGGGGGAAGUGGCGAAAGGGGCAGUAAGGCGUGGGUAACCUACCCCGGGGACCGGGAUAGCCCUCCUAACGGAGGGGUAAUACCGGGCGAUGUGGCGAGAAGGCAUCUUCCUGCCACGAAACGAAUCUCGCCUCGGGAGGGGCUCACGUAGUAUUAGCUCGUUGGCGGGGUAACGGCCCACCAAGGCUGAGAUGCUUAGCGGGUGUGAGAGCACGACCCGCGCCACUGGCACUGCGACACUGGCCAGACUCCUACGGGAGGCUGCAGUCGAGGAUCUUCGGCAAUGGGCGCAAGCCUGACCGAGCGACGCCGCGUGCGCGAUGAAGGCCUUCGGGUUGUAAAGCGCUGUCGAGGGGGAGGAAACCCGCAAGGGCUGACCGACCCCUGGAGGAAGCACGGGCUAAGUUCGUGCCAGCAGCCGCGGUAAGACGAACCGUGCGAACGUUAUUCGGAUUCACUGGGCUUAAAGGGCGCGUAGGCGGGCGAUCAAGUCCGGGGUGAAAUCUUUCGGCUUAACCGGA